This 492-nucleotide ribosomal RNA is filed under the name uncultured bacterium. RNAcentral's name for it is "partial 16S ribosomal RNA". It matches the Rfam family "Bacterial small subunit ribosomal RNA", at positions 29 to 507 of the family's 1533-position model. The record is from RNAcentral.
AGUGAACGCUGGCGGUAGGCCUAACACAUGCAAGUCGAACGGCAGCACAGUAAGCGCUUGCCCUUACGGGUGGCGAGUGGCGGACGGGUGAGGAAUACAUCGGAAUCUACUUUUUCGUGGGGGAUAACGUAGGGAAACUUACGCUAAUACCGCAUACGACCUACGGGUGAAAGCAGUGGAUCUUCGCACCUUGCGCGAUUGAAUGAGCCGAUGUCGGAUUAGCUAGUUGGCGGGGUAAAGGCCCACCAAGGCGACGAUCCGUAGCUGGUCUGAGAGGAUGAUCAGCCACACUGGAACUGAGACACGGUCCAGACUCCUACGGGAGGCAGCAGUGGGGAAUAUUGGACAAUGGGCGCAAGCCUGAUCCAGCCAUACCGCGUGAGUGAAGAAGGCCUUCGGGUUGUAAAGCCCUUUUGUUGGGAAAGAAAAGCAGCAGGUGAAUACCCCGCUGUUCUGACGGUACCCAAAGAAUAAGCACCGGCUAACUUCGUG